Molecule: ribosomal RNA, 492 nt
Filed under: uncultured bacterium
Lineage: Bacteria
Description: partial 16S ribosomal RNA
Rfam family: Bacterial small subunit ribosomal RNA
Source: RNAcentral
AGUGAACGCUGGCGGUAGGCCUAACACAUGCAAGUCGAACGGCAGCACAGUAAGAGCUUGCUCUUACGGGUGGCGAGUGGCGGACGGGUGAGGAAUAUAUCGGAAUCUACUUUUUCGUGGGGGAUAACGUAGGGAAACUUACGCUAAUACCGCAUACGACCUACGGGUGAAAGCAGGGGAUCUUCGGACCUUGCGCGAUUGAAUGAGCCGAUGUCGGAUUAGCUAGUUGGCGGGGUAAAGGCCCACCAAGGCGACGAUCCGUAGCUGGUCUGAGAGAAUGAUCGGCCACACUGGAACUGAGACACGGUCCAGACUCCUACGGGAGGCAGCAGUGGGGAAUAUUGGGCAAUGGGCGCAAGCCUGAUCCAGCCAUACCGCGUGGGUGAAGAAGGCCUUCGGGUUGUAAAGCCCUUUUGUUGGGAAAGAAAAGCAGCAGGUUAAUACCCCGCUGUUCUGACGGUACCCAAAGAAUAAGCACCGGCUAACUUCGUG